Molecule: long non-coding RNA, 276 nt
Filed under: Bos indicus x Bos taurus (hybrid cattle)
Lineage: Eukaryota; Metazoa; Chordata; Mammalia; Artiodactyla; Bovidae
Description: lncRNA (ENSBIXG00000021199.1)
Source: RNAcentral
GAUCAUUUUUGCAAAGCAACUUCAUUGUGGCCGAACCGGAUUCUUGGUGCUAUGGUUGGAGAGAGUAAGGCUGGUGAAGUCUGGCCAUGUGAUUAGCCACUGUCCUGCUGAUCAAGAAUCACUGCUUUUGGUCUUCAGGAGUGACUCGGAAACCCAUCUCAGAGGGUGAUGGAAGACCUAAGACCUUCUCACUUGUGUGGCAGCAAAGAGAUCCUGCAUUUUACGGACUUAUUGCGUGUGGUCAAUGACCCAUACCUCUAAAAGGUUACAAAGAAG